ACCGCGUAACAGGGGCGCCCGCAACAGACGGGCUGAGAUGCACCCUUUGAACCUGAACCGGAUCAUGCCGGCGGAGGAAGUUGCGAUGAGACGGGG
RNAcentral lists this non-coding RNA (96 nucleotides) under Roseovarius nanhaiticus. Its description in RNAcentral is "TPP sequence". It matches the Rfam family "TPP riboswitch aptamer (THI element)". From Rfam's summary of the family: Vitamin B(1) in its active form thiamin pyrophosphate (TPP) is an essential coenzyme that is synthesised by coupling of pyrimidine and thiazole moieties in bacteria. The previously detected thiamin-regulatory element, thi box was extended, resulting in a new, highly conserved RNA secondary structure, the THI element, which is widely distributed in eubacteria and also occurs in some archaea. Analysis of operon structures identified a large number of new candidate thiamin-regulated genes, mostly transporters, in various prokaryotic organisms. Lineage: Bacteria; Pseudomonadati; Pseudomonadota; Alphaproteobacteria; Rhodobacterales; Roseobacteraceae. The record is from Rfam by way of RNAcentral.